UAAGGAAUAUUGGACAAUGGACGCAAGUCUGAUCCAGCCAUGCCGCGUGAAGGAUGAAGGUCCUCUGGAUUGUAAACUUCUUUUAUAGGGGGCGAAAAAAGGGAAUUCUUUCCUUCUUGACAGUACCCUAUGAAUAAGCACCGGCUAACUCCGUGCCAGCAGCCGCGGUAAUACGGAGGGUGCAAGCGUUAUCCGGAUUCACUGGGUUUAAAGGGUGCGUAGGCGGGUUGUUAAGUCAGUGGUGAAAUCUCAGAGCUUAACUCUGAAACUGCCAUUGAUACUAAUGAUCUUGAAUAUUGUGGAGGUAAGCGGAAUAUGUCAUGUAGCGGUGAAAUGCUUAGAUAUGACAUAGAACACCCAUUGCGAAGGCAGCUUACUACGCAUAUAUUGACGCUGAUGCACGAAAGCGUGGGGAUCAAACAGGAUUAGAUACCCGCGUAGUCC
This 444-nucleotide ribosomal RNA is filed under the name uncultured bacterium. Its description in RNAcentral is "bacterial SSU rRNA". It matches the Rfam family "Bacterial small subunit ribosomal RNA", at positions 355 to 796 of the family's 1533-position model. The record is from RNAcentral.